CCUGGCUCAGGACGAACGCUGGCGGCGUGCCUAACACAUGCAAGUCGAACGGGGGUAGCAAUACCCCAGUGGCGAACGGGUGCGUAACACGUGAGGAACUUGUCCAUCGGCGGGGGAUAGCCGGCCCAACGGCCGGGUAAUACCGCGUACGUCGGCGAGACCGCAUGGUCUUGCCGGGAAAGCAGCAAUGCACCGAUGGAGAGCCUCGCGGCCUAUCAGCUAGUUGGUGAGGUAACGGCUCACCAAGGCGACGACGGGUAGCUGGUCUGAGAGGAUGAUCAGCCACAUUGGGACUGAGACACGGCCCAGACUCCUACGGGAGGCAGCAGUGGGGAAUAUUGCGCAAUGGGCGAAAGCCUGACGCAGCGACGCCGCGUGUGGGAUGACGGCCUUCGGGUUGUAAACCACUGUCGCGAGGGACGAAGAUCUGACGGUACCUCGAAAGGAAGCACCGGCUAACUCUGUGCCAGCAGCCGCGGUAAUACAGAGGGUGCAAGCGUUGUCCGGAAUUACUGGGCGUAAAGGGGCGCGUAGGCGGUUCGAUAAGUAGGGGGUGAAAUCUCACGGCUCAACCGGGAGGCUGCCUUCUAGACU
RNAcentral lists this ribosomal RNA (594 nucleotides) under uncultured bacterium. Its description in RNAcentral is "bacterial SSU rRNA". It matches the Rfam family "Bacterial small subunit ribosomal RNA", at positions 18 to 634 of the family's 1533-position model. The record is from RNAcentral.